CACCCAUGUGCAUCUUGAUAGAUCAUGCUCCGUUAUCUUACCCCCUUUCUACUGUCGGAAUCGAGGUUCUUACCCCCUUUCUACUGUCGGAAUCGAUACCACGACAACCCCAUCCCGACACGGAGCACAACGCGAGUCCGCCACCGCGUCAGCCGACUCCACCCCGACACCACGAGACGGAGCCCACCAUGAAUCCCUCGCCACUUCGACUUCUAGAGCAUCAACGGACUACAAAGCAGAAGAGAGCACCAAGGAAGAACCCCCCUCCUACCAAAAAGAAGUUGGCUUAUGAGAUGACCGAGGAGGAAAUCAACGCCCAAACGACAUCUGAAUUGAAGGCCCAUUUUGGACUGAAACCGCCCCCACCGCCAAAGGAGAUAGUACCUCUGAAAACCGUACAUUGUGUUUUGGAGAAUCUUGCUAAACCGCCUCCGGAGAGAAUGCGAUCAGACUAUGAACGCUCAAUUAGCAAUUCAUAUCAUCCACAACAAAAAAUAUGUCAAGCGGUAGUAAGAAAAGCGGGAAAAGUGUUCCCCAGCUAGGAGAACAGGCAGUGCAAUCGAUCCCGCCGCUCAAGGUGAGUACCAAAGUAACUGACGCUGCUGUUAGAGAGAUGGCUAGAGAGGCCAGUGUCAUUGUUGAAUAACUCCUAGGCACCGAGGAAAUGCCAGGGUGGAAUUGGAGGCACUAGCAUGGAAAUAUGUUGUCGGGAACCUCUGUUCGGGCCUGAGGAGGUACCGCUUCUACCAACACAAAUGUACAAAUUGCAUAACUGGUACCUAAGGGAAAUAAAAGUCGGGUGACACAGCCUCAUGGUGAAAGUCAAGCCAGAGCAUUUCUUCCAUGAAAAAUAUUUGUGGAUUGAGUUUCCAGAAUAGUUUCAGUUAUUCAAUCAAGACACACUCGAUGAAACAGAGGAGAACUUGUAUAAAUUAUUGAAGGUUCCAGAGAAUCCUUCUAAUCAUUAGUGUUGACGAGGGAAAAGUUGAAGUACUGGACUCACUAAAUAAAAACCCUGAAGAGUACAAGAACCCGAAAUUGAUGCUCGACAGGGUUUUGACACGGUUCACCUAAGAGAUUGUCGGUAAAUGGAAAAAGGAGCUGACAUGGAAAUGACCCAGGGUAAUUAAGUAGUACUAGCUAGUGGUGCAUGCAGCAGGAAUAGGGGACUAAUCUAUGUUCAUACUAUGUUUGCGAGGACAUUCGCUUUAUGACCAAACGGCGCACAAAUAAAAGACAUCUUUGGAUACGUAAACACUAUUCACAUUUUUUAUCAUGAUCUAAUAUACAUACACACAACUUAUAUAUUCAUAUUGGUCUCCUUCUUUAAAGAUGACGUAGAUGCGGGAUAGCCUCCUAGCAAAGGACCGCAUAUGAGCACUUUAAGAGGAAAUGGCGGGAUUUUUUACUUGAGCAGGUCACAUCUUCAAACGGAGAAUACCACUACAACUAAUGACUGCAUGUAAUGAUCUGUAAGUUAUAGGAGAAAUUUUAUAUACCAAAUUGUGUAUAUAUAUAUAUGUGUGUGUGUGUGUGUGUGUGUGUGGUCGUAUGAGAAAUUCUAUGAUAUAUGAUUGGU
Hordeum vulgare subsp. vulgare (domesticated barley) is the source of this 1579-nucleotide long non-coding RNA. RefSeq lists it as uncharacterized. The transcript has 4 exons. NCBI's taxonomy places the organism in Eukaryota, Viridiplantae, Streptophyta, Magnoliopsida, Poales, Poaceae. The record is from RefSeq and is a predicted model, not a curated record.